This 1343-nucleotide ribosomal RNA is filed under the name uncultured bacterium. RNAcentral describes it as "16S ribosomal RNA". It matches the Rfam family "Bacterial small subunit ribosomal RNA", at positions 28 to 1378 of the family's 1533-position model. The record is from RNAcentral.
GACGAACGCUGGCGGCGUGCUUAACACAUGCAAGUCGAACGGAAAGGCCCUGCUUUUGUGGGGUGCUCGAGUGGCGAACGGGUGAGUAACACGUGAGUAACCUGCCCUUGACUUUGGGAUAACUUCAGGAAACUGGGGCUAAUACCAGAUAGGAGCUCCUGCUGCAUGGUGGGGGUUGGAAAGUUUCGGCGGUUGGGGAUGGACUCGCGGCUUAUCAGCUUGUUGGUGGGGUAGUGGCUUACCAAGGCUUUGACGGGUAGCCGGCCUGAGAGGGUGACCGGCCACAUUGGGACUGAGAUACGGCCCAGACUCCUACGGGAGGCAGCAGUGGGGAAUAUUGCACAAUGGGCGGAAGCCUGAUGCAGCAACGCCGCGUGCGGGAUGACGGCCUUCGGGUUGUAAACCGCUUUCGCCCGUGACGAAGCGUGAGUGACGGUAAUGGGUAAAGAAGCACCGGCUAACUACGUGCCAGCAGCCGCGGUGAUACGUAGGGUGCGAGCGUUGUCCGGAUUUAUUGGGCGUAAAGGGCUCGUAGGUGGUUGAUCGCGUCGGAAGUGUAAUCUUGGGGCUUAACCCUGAGCGUGCUUUCGAUACGGGUUGACUUGAGGAAUUUAGGGGAGAAUGGAAUUCCUGGUGGAGCGGUGGAAUGCGCAGAUAUCAGGAGGAACACCAGUGGCGAAGGCGGUUCUCUGGGCCUUUCCUGACGCUGAGGAGCGAAAGCGUGGGGAGCGAACAGGCUUAGAUACCCUGGUAGUCCACGCUGUAAACGGUGGGUACUAGGUGUGGGGUCCAUUCCACGGGUUCCGUGCCGUAGCUAACGCUUUAAGUACCCCGCCUGGGGAGUACGGCCGCAAGGCUAAAACUCAAAGGAAUUGACGGGGCCCCGCACAAGCGGCGGAGCAUGCGGAUUAAUUCGAUGCAACGCGUAGAACCUUACCUGGGUUUGACAUGGAUCGGGAGUGCUCAGAGAUGGGUGUGCCUCUUUUGGGGUCGGUUCACAGGUGGUGCAUGGCUGUCGUCAGCUCGUGUCGUGAGAUGUUGGGUUAAGUCCCGCAACGAGCGCAACCCUUGUUCACUGUUGCCAGCACGUUAUGGUGGGGACUCAGUGGAGACCGCCGGGGUCAACUCGGAGGAAGGUGGGGAUGACGUCAAGUCAUCAUGCCCCUUAUGUCCAGGGCUUCACGCAUGCUACAAUGGCUGGUACAGAGAGUGGCGAGCCUGUGAGGGUGAGCGAAUCUCGGAAAGCCGGUCUCAGUUCGGAUUGGGGUCUGCAACUCGACCUCAUGAAGUCGGAGUCGCUAGUAAUCGCAGAUCAGCAACGCUGCGGUGAAUACGUUCCCGGG